UUUUUUUUUUUUUUUUUUUUUUCAUCACUUUCAAAGGGAGAGUAAAUGCUUGCAUACACCACAAGCCUUUAGACAAUACAGGUAUUGGAUGGGCUUUGUAUCAAUGAAAGUGUUUUCAGGUUCAAGAAAUGCAUGUAUGCUGUACCUGGUGUAUUGUAACUGCAGGUAAUGAUACAUAUAGAGGGAGGAAUUCAGAUUUUUACUUUGAUCAUUUCUGAUGAAUUUGAAAUCGGCUCACUACUGGAACAACUGUGAGACAGUUUUCCCUAUCUUCUUUCAAACUCCAGUUGGUUCCGUCUUGGUUAUCAACCUUUUAUAUGCAGAGAUGUACAGCUAAACCAUGUGUCUGUAUGACGUGAAGAUAACUAUUCAUUUGUUUCAUAUUAUUUCCUUAUCUUCCCUCCCUCUUUUUGCUCUUGCAUACAAGUGAAUAUACAAAAUGGCAAACACUGCACAAAAUUAAACCAUUAUUAAAUAUCUCUAAAAUGUCUAGUAUUGCCAAACACUAAUGUUGAUUUCUCGUUUAUUUAUUUUGGGAAUGUAUAAUAAUCGGAAUAAACACACAAAAAUGGAUCCUUUCACACAUCAUCUGUAUGCUGUUUUGGUUAAAAUACUGUAGAUACUUAACCAAGGUAGACUAACCUUGUGAUGCUCUUGGGGCAAUACCUCUGUAUAUAUUAGCUACAACAGAUUGGAUUUUAUGUUAACAUUUGUUUGGUUAUAGUGCAAUAUAUUUUGUAUGCAAGCAGUUUCAAUAAAGUUUGAUCUUCCUCUGCAACC
Non-coding RNA from Pelobates cultripes (western spadefoot toad), 780 nucleotides. The record is from the annotation of a GenBank genome assembly. NCBI's taxonomy places the organism in Eukaryota, Metazoa, Chordata, Amphibia, Anura, Pelobatidae.